AAUGAGCAGAAAGAGCCAGUAAGUAUUGUGAUUCUGUACCUAAGUUAAGGAAAUAUUGCAAAGAAAGGGGGGUACUAAACUAUGUCAUUUUUUUUUCUCAGAAGGUCAACAAGAUGAGGCAAGAGAAGUCAUCAUGGAGUCUGGCAACAUGGAGGUUCCUAGUAACCUCAAAAAAUCAGUAUCAGUGAUUGGUAAAGUAGAUGGGAUGAAAGCCUGACUGGAAUAGCUACAAAGAUACAGAGAAGCAUGUCCCACAAUAAGCCUCUCACACUUAUAACUUGGUCUUAGCACCCACAUCCAGGAGGACAUGAACUGACUCACUUGGGGAGAGGUGGAGAGGCUAUGGAGCUGAGGUAACGUGAGCUGGAUUUUACCGGACACCAUCAUAGCUCUUGGAUCUCUUUAGAUAUGCUGUGAUCGGGGAUGAACUGGUUUACAGGGGAAAUGGAACUGUACGGAUAUUCCUUCAAUCCUGCUUUAGAUGGUGUUGCAAUCAAGACAAUGCAAAAGCUUUUCUAUGACCAUGUACAUUACUACCCUUCUUGUACACCAAGUUAGGAAUGCUACAUAAUAGCAAGAAAGCUAGGAAAAAUGUAUUGACAGCUUACUCUGUACCAAGCUUUAGGCUAGAGCCUUGCUCAUUCAUUCGGAAUACUUUUAAUGAAUACCAAGAUACAUGGGGGCACCAUCUUGAGUCAAAAUCCAGGCCAAUACUUGUUUUUAAAAAAUCAUUUACAUCCUGCCUUGCUUAUAGCAGCACUGUGCCUGUCUUAAAGCAAACAUGUUCACAGGCUGUCAUGUAAUAUAAAUUCUCCUUGCUAUCUUGCUGACUAGAUGCUUCCUUCUUCUCCCAGCUGCAUCUCAAUUUUCCUCCUUGAAUGGAGAUAACAAAGGGUCUCUUUCUUGCCAUUGCAUGUUGUGAAUGUUGCAAAAAUGACAACAUACUUCCAGGAUACUGGAACACAUGAAAAUUGGUGCCUUCAUAAAAGGAGUUUCUUGUGUGGUCCACUUCAGGGGUUUGUGAGCCUAAUAAGUAUGUCUGCCACUCAGCCCAGCCCGAGUGAAGGCAGGAUAAUGUUAGCUCCCAACUCAUGAGAAACAGAGUGUGGGCUUCAGGUCCCUUUGAACUCUUGUAUCACUUAUCUGACUGGCUUUUGCCCUUUUCUGGGAUGGCAGCUGUUUAGAAUCUCAAACCUCUACACCCCUUUAUUCUUCCCAUUAGUGAAAGGCUUAAUUAGGAGCAAAAUGUGUCUUUGCAUCAUAAACACAUUUUAGAAGUUAACAGGAGUCCCUGGCCCCUGCUAAAUGCUAACCAAAUGUGUUAAAAUCAGCAGUUUGAUGUUGCCCAUAGAGACAGCUGGAGAAGGGGAGGGGGGUUUGAGGGAGUGUCUCACAGCUGGAGAACCCAGCAGGAAAUGACACUAUUGGAGACUUGCGACUAAGCAAACCACAAAGUGAGAGAACAGAGAGAAAGAGAGAGAGAAUGAAAGUAUUGGAAACCAGCCCAGCUGGGUCACAGAAUUGGUAAGGGGAUACAGCUUUAAACAGCUAAAAUGAAAAAUGAUUAGCUGAGAAUUGUCUAAUUACUGAAAUUAAAUAUAAAAUCCACUAA
This is a long non-coding RNA of Felis catus (domestic cat), 1612 nucleotides long. RefSeq lists it as uncharacterized. NCBI's taxonomy places the organism in Eukaryota, Metazoa, Chordata, Mammalia, Carnivora, Felidae. The transcript is spliced from 2 exons. The record is from RefSeq and is a predicted model, not a curated record.